Molecule: long non-coding RNA, 5418 nt
Filed under: Homo sapiens (human)
Lineage: Eukaryota; Metazoa; Chordata; Mammalia; Primates; Hominidae
Description: PREDICTED lncRNA (TCONS_00273660)
Source: RNAcentral
CAAACUCUGCAUAAAACCUCACCCUAAUCUCUCUUAUACUGACACACUUGGAGCAACACAUAUGCCCUUCACCCCCAAGUUGACCUUGUCCAGCUCAGUGCAUUGGUUGGCUGUGAUCUUGAGUAAAUUCCUUAAUGUCUACUCCUGUUUUCUCAUUUGUAAAAAUCAAGAUAGUAAUAAUAGUUCCCAUCUCAUAACCCUUUUAUUGUGAAAACUGAGUAAGAUAAGCCAUGUUAUAUGCUGAUACAGUGCCUAGCAAUAGUGAAUGCCUCCAAAACUUUAGCUGUUACAUCAUCUCAUCACCAUCAUCAUUAGUGUGAAAACUUCCUGACCCCUCAAGAGGGGAUGAGGCGCUGUAUGCAUUUCCAGUACAAGUAUUCCACCUUUUAUAACAUCUAUCAUGGUUUACUACACAUUGUCACCUUUACCUUUCUGCUUCUUGACUAAAUCUUAAACUAAACUCUCUAGUUGGAGGUUUGGCAGUUGUAUCCCCAAACUAGAGUGCCCUGGAUGGCACAGAAUGUUGUAGCUAUGCAACUCACCAAUUUUGCUGGUCCCUGUGAUCAGAAUUUACGCUGAGAAUUGCUGCCCGUUCUGAAAGCAUCAGUGUUUAAGUUGUUGUAACAUUUCUUCUGAAUCAGACCAGACUUUCACUUCAGAACAAUAAGUAACAAUUCCUUCUAAGAAAUCUCGGCUCACUGCAACCUCCGCCUCCUGGGCUCAAGCGAUUCUUCUGCCUCAGCCUCCUGCGUAGCUGGGAUUACAGGUGCAUGCCACAACCACCUGGCUAAUUUUUGUAUUUUUUAGUAGAGACGGGGUUUCACCAUAUUGGCCAGGCUGUUCUCGAACUCUUGACCUCCGGUAAUCUGCCCGCCUCGGCCUCCCAAAAUGCUGGGAUUACAGGCAUGAGCCACCGCACCCGGCCAUAGAUUUUUUAGUGAGUUAGAAAUGAAUGUAAAUUUCCUUUUAUAGGAGUUAGACAUUUAUUUUUAACAAUUAACCACUGAAUUCAUUUUCAGAAAUAGGCCUGAAUUGCUUGUUAAUUUCAUUACAGGAAGUAACUCUAAAAGCCAAUUCCACUUCCAAACUAUAAUUACCAUCAUCUGAAUUUAACAGGGAAAGACAUCUUCCAAGACUUCUUUUGGGCGGAUGCUUAGUUUUAGAAUAGCCAACUUUACCCUAACCCAUGUACAAGACAGUUCUCCAGGUGGCCUUGGACUGACCCAGUUCUCCCUUCUUCCUUGCUUGUAGUUCUUAAGAAUAACUGUAGAAUGCACUGGGAAUGCAAUAUCCUGAUAUGGAGGAACUGCCUGAAACAGGUUGGCCUUGUUGUUGUCCCUCCUAGGGAAUGUAACAUCUUGAUUUAGGGAACUGUUUGAGACAGCGAGGUUGUGUUCCUCUUUCCCCUGGAAGGAGGAUGUACUUUAAAGCUUUGCCCAAUGAGUUAUGUGGCUCCUAUGGUAUAUAACCCAAGGCAGGCUGUGGUGCAAGUGGGGCACGUACAAUCAAGACUCCAUCAGCCCCGCCCUGGGCAGCUUUCUUGAGCCCUGGGGGACUGGCUCACAAUGGAGCCAGGGCCUCUUUUGUCCCUUGCUUCCUGUCUGUAAGUAAUAAAUCUGCUUCAUGUAAUGUAUUGGGUGUGAGUGUGUUCUGUCACAAUGGAAUCAGACAGGUUGGUAACCAGUGUACACUGAACCUGCUUGGCACCAUGUAGCCCUGGGAAAGGAGAAAGGCGGUCACAGCUUGCCCUAUAUGGUGAUGCCAGCACACUGUGCACUGUACUGUGCAACAGAAAAAGGUGCACUGAGGAGGAUCGGCUGCUUCUUCCCAUUGUUGCUUCUUUAGUAAAUCCCCUAUGAGUUUUUAGUCGCUUUCUAAUCUACAAGUUAAAGGAUAUCUCAUUAAUUUUACAGAUAUAUACAUAUACUGUAACAAUAGGAAGGAAGUCUUUCACCAACCACUAAUACUGUAAAGAAAGCAUUGUAUCGAUCUAGUAUUAUUUAAUGAAGACGGACAGCAAUUUUAAUACAAUCUUCUUUUCCAAGACCUUUGACAGACCUUAGGCCCAUUUUCCACCUUUAUGUCUAGGAAAGUAUAAGUAAAACACUUUUGAGGGCAUAAAAAACACAAGCUUCUUGUUAAGGUGUAUCAGUAGCCAGGGAAAUCUGCUGUGCCCCUUUGAGGGUCAUCUAACUAAGGCAUGGAGAAAGAAACUGCCUCAAGUCAGUUUCUAUCACCUCUGCAGGGAAGCUGGCCAUGCAAACCAGGACAUGGUUCAAAGUGAAAAAGAGUGUGGUUAAUAAUCAUGCCAGAACACCAGGUAUAAGAUGUAAGGGCAAGUCAGGCAUUCUGUACAUUGCUUCUCCCUUCAGUUUGGAAAACUCACUGCAGUAGGGUUUUGACUUAUCGUUUCACAAGACAGCUAGGAAGGCCAGGCACAGUGGCUCACACCUGUAAUCCCAGCACUUUGGGAGGCCAAGACGGGUGGAUCACGAGGUCAGAUCGAGACCAUCCUGGUUAACACGGUGAAACCCUGUCUCUACUUAAAAUACAAAAAAUAGCCGGGUGUGGUGGCGGGCGCCUGUAGUCCCAGCUACUCAGGAGGCUGAGGCAGGAGAAUGGCGUGAACCCGGGAGGCGGAGCUUGCAGUGAGCCGAGAUCGCGCCACUGCACUCCAGCCCGGGUGACAGCGCGACUCUGUCUCAAAAAAAUAAAAAAAAUAAAAAAAAAUAAAAAACAAGACAGCUAGGAGGAAAGCCUGUAUGCUUUGGAAAAUGCAUAUCUUGUGUGUUUACCCUUUUAAAGGUAACUAUACUUUGAAACAGGUGAACUGCAGAAAGUUAACAAAGACUUCUUUUUUUACCAUGUUUACCUUUCUAAGAAUUCUAUGCAUUUCCUAGGGCAUACAUGCAAAAGCCUUCACAUUUCCCCCUUUUUAAAAGAGAUAUUUCUCAAACUUAUACGUAUACAGUUCAGUAGUGUUAAGUACAAUCACACUUGUUUUGCAACAGAUCUCUAGAAUUCUUGCAACACAAGCUCUGUACCCACUAAAUACAAAUUCACCCUCUCCCCUUCCCCCAACCGUUGCUUGGCAACCACCUUUCUACUUUCUAUUGUAUGAUUUUGACUACUUUGCAUACUUCACAUGGAGGAAUCAUAUAGCAUUUGUUCUUUUGUUGGCUGGCUUAUUUCACUUGGCAUAAUGCCUUCAAGGUUCAUCCACAUUGUACAUUUGACAGGAUUUCCUUCUUUUUAAAGGCUGAAUAAUAUUCCAUUGACUGUAUAUACCACAUUUCCUUUAUCUAUUCAUCUGUUGAUGGACAUUUGGGAUGCUUCCAGAACCUCUUGGCUAUUGUGAAUAAUGCUGCUAUGAACAUGGGUGUACAAAUAUCUCUUUGAGAUCCCGCUUUGGUGGUAAUUCUUAUGGUAAUUCUGUUUUCAGUUAUUUGGGAAACCUGUGUACUGUUUUCCGUAAUGACUGCACCGUUUUACAUUACCACCAACAGUGCACAAGGGUUUCAACUUCUCUGCAUCCUCCCCAAUACUUGUUAUUUUUUUGUUCUUCUGAUAGUGGCCAUCAUGAUGGGCGUGAGACGAUAUCUCAUUGUGGUUUUGAUUUGCAUUUCCCUAAUAAUUGGCAAUGUUGAGCAUAUUUUCAUGUUCUUAUUGGCCAAUUGUAUAACUUCUUUGGAGAAAUGUCUGUGCAAGUCCUUUGCCCAUUUUUAAAAAUUGAGUUAUUUGGUUUUUUGUUGUUGAGUUGUAGAAGUUCCUCAUAUAUUCUGGAUUUGGGCUCCUUAUAAGAUAGACGAUUUGCAAUUAUUUUCUCUCAUUCUAGAGCUUGCGUUUUCACUUUGUUGAUUGCUUCCUUUGACACACAGACAUUUUUAAGUUUGAUGUAGUCCCGUUUCCUUCCUAACGAUCUUUAAGUGUACAGUUCAGUAGUGUUAAGUAUAUUCAUCCAACCCUAUCUUGCAGACCAGAUGACAAACAUAUUAAUGAAAGAAAUACUACCAGUCAUUGACGCAACAGAGUCUGAACAUAGGCUUAGAGGCAUUCAGAAACAUUCCAAGAUAUUUAUAAGCAAGAGCCACAGGAGCAUGAAUUCCUCAGAAUAUGUAGAAUUAUCUAGAUUUUAGCCUAUCUGACAAGUUUCUCUCCCUAUUACCAUAACAAAAGUCUUUUAAACCACUGUAUAAACUGAGAUAUUUAAGUUAAUCACCUGCCUUGCAAAGAACCUUGACUAAUGAGUAAAUAAAGUUCAGACAGUUGUAAAGGGAAGACGGGAUAGCUCUUUCACUGUAGAAAACAUUAUCAUUAUAUACUAUGUAACAGCGUGCAAAUAAUACAAAAUAAUAAUAUAAACUAUAGGCUAUUAGAUUACUAGUCCUUUGAAAAAUAUUUCUGGAAGGCCGGGCACGGCAUUUUCUUUAAAAUGUUCUGCAUAUAUUUCCUAUAUGAUCAGACCUUUAAGCAAAAUAUCUGAUCUUCGGAAAUGCAAAGGGAUUUCUGGGUAUAGGAAAAGUCUUGUUUUCUUAUAAUUACAAAAUAUAUUUUCUACAUCAUAAACUGAUAGUAAGUAAGCAUAUCAUGUCCUUGUAACAACUAAACACUGGGGCAAAUAUACUGACUGAUAAGCCCUUAUGAAAGAAUACACAUUCAUGUUAUAAAAUAAAAUACAUCUAAAACCAUGGCCAAUAUUCAGCCAGGAAGUACCAGUCUGGGCCCAUAGGCUGUUUCUGCAAGGCCUGAGUUCUGGUCAGUGUCUGUGCCUUACCACAUGUUAAAAAUUUUGAUUAUAAUCCCUAUGUAUAGUGCUAUAGAACCACUAAUGGAUAAACAUAAAAAGAUAGCUCAAAAAUGUCAGACAUAAAAAGAUAUUACAAGCUGGGCCAGGCGGCCAGCACCUGUAGCCCCAGCUACUCUAGAGGCUAAGGCAGGAGGACUGCUUGAGCCUAGGAGUUCAAGGCUGCAGUGAGCUAUCAUUUGGCCACUGCACUCUAGCCUGGGCAGCAGAGCAAGACCUAGUCUCUUAAAGAAAAAAAAAAGGCAUUACAAUUACCAACAGGUAUCUGUAAGAGAAACUUGUGUCUCUUGCUGGUACCGAAUAGCCUUCCUCAAAGACUGAUGAAGCACUCUCAUGCUAAGAAAUGCACAUCUGUAAAUAUUAUCAAAUGCAGGCACUUAGAAUAGUCUAGUUAACAAUUUAUAGUAAGCUAGUAUAUAUUAAAGCAAAAGCAAAAUACUGCCUAGAUAUGAAUGUUUUAGGGGGUUGCUUGGCUGGUGGCCGGCUUGGGUUUCGCUUGUACAUUCAGCACAUAAUCAUGCCGGAAGGAUGAACGAACAGUGCGAUUCAUCAGUGGCUGAAGGGGGCGGAAGUUGUCCACCAUUCUUUUCUCUUUCUCCCCUUCGGAAGUGAAA